RNAcentral lists this ribosomal RNA (468 nucleotides) under uncultured bacterium. Its description in RNAcentral is "partial 16S ribosomal RNA". It matches the Rfam family "Bacterial small subunit ribosomal RNA", at positions 28 to 507 of the family's 1533-position model. The record is from RNAcentral.
GACGAACGCUGGCGGCGUGCUUAACACAUGCAAGUCGAACGGAAAGGCCCUGCUUUUGUGGGGUGCUCGAGUGGCGAACGGGUGAGUAACACGUGAGUAACCUGCCCUUGACUUUGGUAUAACUUCAGGAAACUGGGGCUAAUACCGGAUAGGAGCUCCUGCUGCAUGGCGGGGGUUGGAAAGUUUCGGCGGUUGGGGAUGGACUCGCGGCUUAUCAGCUUGUUGGUGGGGUAGUGGCUUACCAAGGCUUUGACGGGUAGCCGGCCUGAGAGGGUGACCGGCCACAUUGGGACUGAGAUACGGCCCAGACUCCUACGGGAGGCAGCAGUGGGGAAUAUUGCACAAUGGGCGGAAGCCUGAUGCAGCAACGCCGCGUGCGGGAUGACGGCCUUCGGGUUGUAAACCGCUUUCGCCUGUGACGAAGCGUGAGUGACGGUAAUGGGUAAAGAAGCACCGGCUAACUACGUG